This is a long non-coding RNA of Passer domesticus (house sparrow), 4120 nucleotides long. RefSeq lists it as uncharacterized. The record is from RefSeq and is a predicted model, not a curated record. Lineage: Eukaryota; Metazoa; Chordata; Aves; Passeriformes; Passeridae. The transcript is spliced from 3 exons.
UAAGUGUAGGAAGAGAAGGGAAAAGAAUUCAGAGAGAAUGUUCUGUGGCAGAGCAGCGAGUGGAUACCCAUUAAUAUUUUCGUUUGGGAAGUUUUUUUAUUCUGCAGAUCCCUUCCUAGAGGUGUACACUGAGAUUCGUGUAGGUGGCAGCAAAAGGAGGAUUCCCUGCAUCGGUGCUGCAUGUUCUCUUUGCUUCCAAAGUGUGUUCUGUGCUCCUGGAUAUUUCCAAACCCUCCUCUAGCCUCUGGACUCUGGCCUCAAACCAAGGAGAAUUCAGUAAUAUAUGUAGUUAAUUUGAAACCAAUUAUUUUUUCCAAGGUCAAUAAUGGGAAAACUGACUAUCAGCAAAUAACCCUCCUGAGAACACAAUUCUGAAGGGAUCCUGUGUUUCCCUUAACCAAACAAUGGUUUAGAAACUGACCAGAUGUUUGCCUACUCAACUUACCAAUCUACUCCAUGCUUUUCCUGUUUCUUCAAGCAGGCCUCACAAAACCUGAACUAAAAGUACUCAGCAGACACAAUGGCAUGCUUAUUCUGCUCAGACCAGGCUUAAUAGGGUGUGUGGCUUCUGAAUUUUAAGAAAAUCAAUGACAUUCAUAUUGCAUUUGCUAAAACAAAAGUUGGAACUCUUCUUUUUGGUUUCUGCGUUUGGGAAGAAAACGCCAAGUUUCACUAUCCACCCUUCAAUAAAAAAACAGUCAAAGAAAAAUGUUUCCUGUGAGUAUUGUAGAUCUUCCUUGAUCAGCCAAGGUUUACAUCAUGGACAAAUAUGCCCAUUUGUAUUCCAAAGAUGCAGACUCAGGAUGCGCCCAACCUAUUUCCCUACCACAACCUCAUCAUCCCCCGCUUCAGAUUCCUCUGUUCCCCAGGCACCACCCUGAUUCAUAAUCUCAAGAAAGUAGAUGCUUGAUAAUCUUGCAGACCUGCACUACAACUGUGUUCACUGUGGAUUUUCCAGCCCAAUUGAUUGCCUACUGUCUGCCUUGCUAACUUCUAGAGCAUGAAUGCUAUUUGCUUAUCUGUCAUCAGAGUGGCUCUCUCUUUGGUGUCUCUUUGAAGAAGGCCAGGACCAGCACCUCUUUGGCAUGCAAUUUCAUUUAUGUGGCUUUCUUCACUCUGAAUUUCUUCAUCCAGUGCUAGUCACACAAGACCUGCAAAACAGUUUCACCUCCUGGUGCAGUGGUUUUUAGGGCCAGAAACAUUAUUCCAUAGUGUUAUUAUUUCCAGCUCAUCAAAAUUAAAUCAUUAUUUUUCUAUCAUGACUCAUCAUUUUAGGACUUGGUUAAGUUCCAUGUAUACAAAAGAUAUGCAGAUGAGAAAUGCAAUGUACAUUACCUUUUACAGAUCUUGUGCUGAUGACAGUAAGUUGCAAAGCAUAGAUUUUUGUUAAAUAGGAAAAGAAAAUAAAAACUGUGCAACAGAGAAAUGUGUGAAACUGAUCCUAAUGCCUUGAAUGGAAAAAUUCUGCACAGAGGAGUGCAGUGCAAGUUAGCACAGGGUGACAUCACCUUUUGGUGUGGCUCCACCCUGAACAAUCACACUUGGUGAGGCUGGGCUGUGUCAGGCUGAGCAGCCCUGCAUGAGUGUACUCUGGUGUUGCAGUGUCAGCUGUUGCAGGCUGACAGCAGAGUUUUUCAUGGAGCCACAUCUAUAAACCCUGGGCUUGUCAGCUACCAACUCUGCUUUGACUCCGAGUCAGAUGCAGACAUCAGAACUGCAGACAUUUUCAGUUAGAUAAUGCAAAUUCCAGUGCUGAUGCUGCAAAGAUGGAAGACAAAUGGUUUCGGGUCAAUGUUCAGCUGGGGUCUUUCUUACUAUUUUUUAAAAUUUCUCUAAGAAACUUUUUAAUAUUUUCUCUCCAGUAAAGAUGCAUCAGUCCUUCAAUCCCUGAAACAGCAAGGCAUGACUUUUAUGCAGUUUUUCAUCCAGUAUAUGUGCAAAAUUCUUAGCAGUGUAAAUAAAUCAUAUUAAUAAAAUAAAUUAUUCCAUAGACUAUGAUUUAUUACAACAUAGUUUAUAGGGUUCCUGAAAAUUAGUAAUAAAACUGUUGCUAUGCCUGCACAGAUGGUUCAUUUCUCUGCUCACUCUUCCCAGACUGGACGUAUAGUUUCACUGCCACUUUUCCACUUACUUUUCCAGUAGAACAAGUAGAUCCUUUGGUGUACCUAGAAAAUUUAAUGAAUCCUUGUCUAAAAUAUGUUGGGUGAUUCAUACCCUAAACCUACCUGUUCUGCUACACCGACCACCAAGGGAAGCCCUGGCUGACUCAUCUUUGUUAUCAACAUCUGCACUGCAUAUGUAAAAGUUAAAUGAGGUUCAUUUUUCUGGUGGUAUCUGCAAUUGCUUCAGUCAGUUCCUAGCAAAACUGUCGUAUUUCAAAGAGCUCAGAUACAUGGUUUUUUGAAAGCCAGGAAAGCACUUGAAAGUCAUUUGACCAAAGGAAAAUACUGAUCAGCCUUUCCACAAAUCUUUUUGCCACAGAGCGAUGAAUGUCUUAAAACCGUCUACAAAGUAAAUGCACACAAACACAGGUGAGAAGAAUGCACCAACAGAAACAUGCAGAAAUCUGGAUCCAAUAAACUGAUGCAGAGGAAGUACACAGAACCUGGGCAGAACUGACUGAUGUUCUACAUAAAUAACACUUUCUAGUUUCCCAUGUAAAACCCAAUAUGGAACAUUUAGUAUCCCAACUACGCUAGGAAAUUAAACUGUGAAAAAGAAAAAAAUUAUCACUUUAGUGAUUCUGUCAAAUGGGAGAGGCUCGAGAGGUGGAACUGUGCAAACAUUGUGAAAUUUAACAAGGCCAAGUGCAAGGUCCUGCACUUGGAUUGGGGUGAUCCCAAACACAUAUACAGGCUGGGUGGAGAAUGGACUGAGAGCAGCCCUGAGGAGAAGGGCUUGGGGUGCUGGUGGAUGAGAAGCUGAGCGUGACCCAGCAACGUGUGCUCAGAGCCCAGAGCCAGCUCUGUCCUGGGCUCAUCCAAAGCAGCGUGGCCAGUAAAGAGAGGUGAUUCUGCCCUUCUGCUCUGCCCUCCUGAGACCCACCUGGAGCACUGCAUCCAGCUCUGGGGCCCCCAGCAUGAGAGGGAUGUGCACCUACAGGAGUGAGUCCAGAGGAGGCCACGAGGAGGAGAAGGAGAAGGAGAAGGAGAAGGAGAAGGAGAAGAAGGAGAAAGAAGGAGAAAGAAGGAGAAAGAAGGAGAAAGAAGGAGAAAGAAGGAGAAAGAAGGAGAAAGAAGGAGAAAGAAGGAGGCGGGGGAGGGGGAGGAAGAAAGGCUGGGAGAGCUGGGGUUAUUCAGCCUGGAAAAGAGAAGGUUCCAAAGACACAGACUAAAGGAGUCUGCAAGAGAGUUGGAGAGGCACUUUUUACAAGGGCCUGUAGUGAGAGGACAAGGAGGAACAGCUUCAAACUGAAAGAGGGUGGGUUUAGAUUAGUUAUUAGAAAGAAAUUCUUUAUUGGAGAGUGGUUAGGCACUGGAACAGGUUGUCCAGAGAAGUUGUGGAUGCCCCAUGCAACAUUCAAAGGGUGGAUGGGGCUUUGAGUAACCAGGUCCAGUGGAAGGUGUCCCUGCCACUGGCAGGGCACUGGAACUAGAUCAUCUUUAAGAUCCCUUCCAACUCAAACCAUGCUAUGAUUCUAUGAUUCUGUGUUAUAAGUUCCAAACACUAAGUUUAAAAAAAUCAAAUUCUUAUAAUUAAACUGAUGGUAUUGCUUAAGGUGUGUAUUUUCAUAACCAGGCAGCAUAUAUGCCACAACAUAAUUGCACACAGAGACUGAAAUCACUGGUGAGAGAUACCCUGUUGACCAAAUGACAGAAAGGCUCCUGCACCUGCAGUUAGCAAUGGGGGAAGAAGGUAGAGCACAUGGCAGCCUGAAUUCCUACUGAAAAAAUAAGCAGAAAAAAAAUCUGGCUUGACAAGAAGAUCAAGGAUGAGGAGAAAGGGCACAGUUCAUUUUCUUCUCUGGAACCCCUUCUCUGAAGGAACACAACAACAAGACAUCUCAAGCAACAGUUUCCAUGUACUUUUUAAUUGCCUAAAUGUAAGGGCUGACACAAGCUUUUAGAACACUGAAAAACUAAUACCAAUAAGAAACACCAGGAUUACUCAAUUCUCUUUU